Molecule: long non-coding RNA, 1054 nt
Filed under: Equus caballus (horse)
Lineage: Eukaryota; Metazoa; Chordata; Mammalia; Perissodactyla; Equidae
Description: lncRNA (ENSECAG00000049847.1)
Source: RNAcentral
UGUGAAUUUACUUUGACGUCUGGCCAGAAGGACCCAGAGCAGGUAGAGGAAAUGCCUUCCACCCCUACACCGUCCAGCGUCUGAACGCCCGCUGGGGGGGGCAUCUGCCAGCAGCUGGGGGCCGCCGCGGAGAGACCCCGCCCUCCUCGGCGCGCAGCGCGGUCCGCCCACCCGACGGCCAGGCAGACGGCGCGGCGGCGUCAGCACCGCGGACAGCGGCCUCCUGGCGGGGCGGGGCGGGGCGGGGCGGGGCGGGGCGGGGUCGCCGGGAGGGGCCGCUGCACUGUGGGAGGCGUCGUCGCGGCGGCGGGGGUCGCCGGGCCCAGGUCGGUGGCGGUAGAGGAGGCGACUCCACCGCGGGGGGCGAGGGCGGGGCGGGGCCGAGCCGAGGGGAGGGCCGGCCCGCCGUCUGUCGCCGCGGCUGCCGGGCGCGCGGCGCAGGGCUCUGGCCAGAAGAGCGCGGCGGCAGCGUCAGGGCCACCGCCACCGGACCAGACAAAACCGGCUGGCCGACCCCAGGGCGCAGGCGCGGCGGCUCGCGGCGCGGCUUGGGCACGGGCAGUGCGCAGUCGCGACGGGGCCGCUAGAAGCGGGGGAGGGGGGGAGGGGGCGUCUGCGCCUGCGCACCCCUCCGGCUGUGGUCUGCUGCCUUGGCCGCCCUUCCACGCCUGUGUCUGCCCACCCGCGCAUCUACCCGACGCUUAAGAUUUGUGACGCUGAGCAAGCACGUCUACUUCCUGUGCUCAUGAAACCUGCAGAGUCGCAGGGGAGGGGUCAUGUGUUACUGAAUAAAUGCCCAGUUCGGCAGAGCAGCUGAGAAAAUGGGGUGGUGGUUGACUGCCAGUUUUAGACUGGGGACAGGGAGUCGGGAAAUGCUCAACAGGCUGUAAUCGGGAUCUGAAGAUCCACAAGGAUGGUUCUUUCUCCUGCCUGUGACCAAGAAAUGGGCUGGUGUGUCCCUGAUUUCACUCCUGCUGCUUUUAAUCACGUGUCCACCGCAGACAAGGGCCCCUGAAUCAUAGCUGCCAGUCUGGAGAGUGGAGAGGGCGCUGAC